CAAGGGGAGCGGCAGACGGGUGAGUAACGCGUGGGAAUCUACCCAGCUCUACGGAAUAACUCAGGGAAACUUGUGCUAAUACCGUAUACGCCCUUCGGGGGAAAGAUUUAUCGGAGUUGGAUGAGCCCGCGUUGGAUUAGCUAGUUGGUGGGGUAAAGGCCUACCAAGGCGACGAUCCAUAGCUGGUCUGAGAGGAUGAUCAGCCACAUUGGGACUGAGACACGGCCCAAACUCCUACGGGAGGCAGCAGUGGGGAAUAUUGGACAAUGGGCGCAAGCCUGAUCCAGCCAUGCCGCGUGUGUGAUGAAGGCCUUAGGGUUGUAAAGCACUUUCACCGGAGAAGAUAAUGACGGUAUCCGGAGAAGAAGCCCCGGCUAAC
This 379-nucleotide ribosomal RNA is filed under the name Rhizobium sp. CL3.34. RNAcentral describes it as "bacterial SSU rRNA". It matches the Rfam family "Bacterial small subunit ribosomal RNA", at positions 87 to 501 of the family's 1533-position model. The record is from RNAcentral. Lineage: Bacteria; Pseudomonadati; Pseudomonadota; Alphaproteobacteria; Hyphomicrobiales; Rhizobiaceae.